CCCUGGAGCAUGUGCACACCUCGUCACCUUUAUCUUUCCACCUGUGCACACACUGUAGUCCUGGAUACCUCUCGCUGAAAGGCGGAUGCGGAGGCUGCUGCUGCCCUCAAAGGCUCGGCUUCCUCUGAAUUUCCAGGUCUAUGCUUUUUACACACCCCAAACGAAUGUUAUAGAAUGUCAUCAUUGGGCCUUUGUGCCUAUAAACCUAAUACAACUUUCAACAACGGAUCUCUUGGCUCUCGCAUCGAUGAAGAACGCAGCGAAAUGCGAUAAGUAAUGUGAAUUGCAGAAUUCAGUGAAUCAUCGAAUCUUUGAACGCACCUUGCGCUCCUUGGUAUUCCGAGGAGCAUGCCUGUUUGAGUGUCAUUAAAUUCUCAACCUCACCCAUUUUGUCAUGAAGUGUGCGUGUAGGCUUGGAUGUGGAGGCUUGCAGGUCCGACUCUCUGAGUUGGUCUGCUCCUCUGAAAUGUAUUAGUGGGUUGUGCCCCUCAUCUAUUGGUGUGAUAAUUAUCUACGCCGUGG
RNAcentral lists this ribosomal RNA (522 nucleotides) under Coprinopsis episcopalis. RNAcentral describes it as "eukaryotic LSU rRNA". The stretch from base 213 to 366 matches the Rfam family "5.8S ribosomal RNA". The record is from RNAcentral. Lineage: Eukaryota; Fungi; Basidiomycota; Agaricomycetes; Agaricales; Psathyrellaceae.